Spinacia oleracea (spinach) is the source of this 1164-nucleotide long non-coding RNA. RefSeq lists it as uncharacterized. NCBI's taxonomy places the organism in Eukaryota, Viridiplantae, Streptophyta, Magnoliopsida, Caryophyllales, Amaranthaceae. The record is from RefSeq and is a predicted model, not a curated record. The transcript is spliced from 7 exons.
UUGUAUUAUACAAGUAAUAUAUAUACACUAAUACACGUACGUAACUCCUCUCGCAAGUCAGAGUCUCGCCCCUCCAUCAGCUCCUUGUCAAUCUCUGGGUUUCUCUCCCUACUUUCAAUCAAUUUCCCUUUUCUCAGUUAAUUGAGGAGAGUCGAAGGUACAAUCGCUCGCGAACUUGCACAUUCGAAAUUUCCAGAAGGGGCAAGCUGCAGUUUCUAGGGUUUCGAUUUCAGAAUGUUGAGAACCAUGUUGAAGAGGCUACGGUGGAAUAUUUAUUGCAUUCCACCGACUGGGUAUUUUUGCUGGAGUACACUGAACUUUUACUGGAGGAUCAAGGAGAUCAAUGAAAAAGAUAAGAGAUAUCAAGAGAAAGUUGAAAGGUUUAUCAACGGCACCCCCAGGGAUGAAGAGAAGGAGGAUUAUCAAACACUUUUUUACGGGACACACGAUGAGUCUGCAUGUGAAGGUGAGGAAUUCUAUGCGUGAAUAGAGGGAUGUUGCUGUUCAUCUAUUUGCAAUGGCUGUUCUGGGAGUCCUUGUUUUUAUGUUAUGUGUUGCUGCUUAUGCAUUAGGUGAUUAAUUCGAAGUCUGUUUGUUUAAACUUCCAGGUUGAAGAGCGUACAGAGGAUACCUAUUUACGUUCCAUCGAUUGGGUAUCUUUGCUGGAGUACACUGAAGUGUUACUGGGAGAUCAAUGCAAAAAGUUUGAGAUUUAAUGAGAAAAUGGAUAGGUUUAUCACCGGCACCCCCAAGGAUGAAGAGAAGGAGGAUUAUCAAGUAUUUGUAUACGGGACACACGACGAGUGGGAGAAGGUGUAUGAAUCUAUGCCUGAAUAGAGGGAUGUUGAUGUUCACUCUUUGCAAUGACUAUUUUGGGAGUCUUUGCUUUUAUGUUAUGUGUUCUUGCUUAUGCAUUAGGUGUUGUAUAAAUGCUUUUUUGGCAAACGCUUGAACCUUUUAUGGACGGAGGUAGUAUAAAGAGGGGACACAUUUAUUAAUUUCUACCAUAUAAGGGAUUGAAAUAUACUCCCUUUGUCCCUUAAUACUCGCACCAUUUUGACUUUUUGCACUAUUUACAUAAUUCACUUUGACCAUAUUUUUAUUUCCAGUAUAGGAAAACAAAUGUUAGUAUUGUUGGCUUCAUAUUAAUAUCUAUUUUAAAAA